Molecule: long non-coding RNA, 2491 nt
Filed under: Panax ginseng (ginseng)
Lineage: Eukaryota; Viridiplantae; Streptophyta; Magnoliopsida; Apiales; Araliaceae
Description: long non-coding RNA (PGIN_LNC006445)
Source: RNAcentral
UUGUGUUACAGGGUACAAGUAUCUUCACAGCUGAGAACCACCCAAUUCAUCUCCAUGGAUAUGAUUUCUACAUUCUCGCAGAAGGUUUUGGAAACUUCAAUCCUAAAACUGAUACAGCCAAAUUCAACCUCGUUGAUCCACCUCUUCGUAAUACAGCUAGUGUACCUGUCAAAGGAUGGUCAGUCAUUAGAUUUGUUGCUGACAAUCCUGGUAAGACAAACAAGUUUACAAUUAUCUACAUUUAUGUGUCAAUUUUUUCUGAUAUAUUUUAGCCAAACUUAAAAGCCUUCAUUUCUUCAUUUGGCAGGAGUUUGGCUUCUGCACUGUCACUUGGAUGUUCACAUCGGUUGGGGUCUGGCGAUGGCUUUUGUUGUAGAGAAUGGAGUUGGGGAAUUGGAGUCUCUAAAGAAAUCUCCAGCAGAUUUGCCUGUGUGCUGAUAUCAACCACAGAAUCAUUACUCAAGAUUAAUUCAGAACGGCCUAUAACAUGGUCGAUAUUUUUCUGGUCGUAGUAUGUGUUCAAUGUUGUUUCCCCACAUUGGGGCUAGUUCCUUCUUCUUUCAAUUGUUAUUUUUUUAUAGAUAAACUGGUUCAAGAAUAUUAGUUUUGUGCUUGCAACACGGAGCACCAUGUCUGUUAGGAUAGACCCAAUAUGUUUCUUGGUUAUAACUGUUUUGUUUUAAGAGUUAAGUAACAACCUUUUUGUGGUAUUUAAAUGAUUUUAAUAAAUUUUUUCAUUUGAUUUGCAUCGUGUAUAGCAAACCGAAGUAAACUCUAUUCCUACACCAAUUGAGAACAAUAAGAUCCGGUCAAGGAGAUAUGAAAGAAACUAUGUGCUACUCCCAGAGUCCCAUUUUACAAGAAAAAAAUGUUCCACACAAAGAGUCCUCUUUUUCAUUAAUCAUAGUGUAAAAUGAAACAAUAACCAUAAGCUUAGCAUCACAAUUUCACUACCAUCCACAACUACUAAACUAAACACAAUAUAUGUAGGGAUAACUAUGGAAGAUAAAUAUAUUUUUAAAGUUUGCAAAUGGGACUCUUUUUGUAUAACGGAGGGAGUAUCUAGCAAAAGCAUAUUACUCAGCAAAAAAAUAAAGGAAAAUAAAAGGGAGAGAGAAAAGAAAAACAAACAAAAAAAUUAAGCAGAAAAGAAAGACUAAAAACCAGCAUUGGAGAGAAUCUAAAAGCUAGGCAAAAGGGUACACAUGUACGAAGAAUAUUACCCACAGUUUAAGACAACCAUAGCUCCACCACCAGUGAAACAGAUGGAUGUUAGUGCAUAGUACUCACCUAUCUUAUAAAUAUACAUAUACCCAAAGAAGACAUAUAACUCAGCUAACACAAUUGAGAUAGUAAUAAUUAUAAUACUCUGGUUAGUUUAAGAGUAUGAAGUAAAGCAGGGACAUAAUAAGGCUAAUCUAUGACUAUGAGAAUCCAGAAGAUGGGGUUGAGAAUUAGAGGAAAAAGUUACUUUACAAGGGAAUAUGUCAAUGAUAUUAGAUCGUCUAGUGUGAUAUACUGUUUCAAAUCAUUCCAGAAUUAUUAUUCAAAAUAUUUGAGAUCCUGAAAUAUAAAGUGAUUAACUAAUUAUAUUAAGAUUCAUAUUCUUGGUGAAGAACUUGGUAUAAUUAUUAGACUGCAUUUGGCAAGGUUAGAGUUACUUUUGCUGACUAACAAAUAUCAUCAUAUAAGCAGCCCCUUCUAUGGCUCAUUUGGGAUUGAGACUACACCUAAUGUUAAAGUGUGGAUAAUUGGUUUUCUAAAUGAAGUUAAGAACUACCUUAAAACUAAAGAAAUAAUGUUACCUAUCAAAUAAAUAAAAUUAAUAACAAUCUUAUAAAAUUCAAUCCCUUGCCAAGAAACUCCGAUUGUAUUGAAUUGAUAGAUACCACUAAUUGAAUUGAUAGAUAUUCUUAGAACUAGACAAGGACAACACCAUCUCAAUACCACUAAUUAAGAGAUAACAAAACCAUAUAGGGAUAGUUCAUAACAAAGCAAACCUCACAGAAUAACAGUUGCAAUAGGAUAACAAAUAAGCAACUAUCUGAAAAGCUACAAAAUUAUUUACCAAAAAAAGCUACAAAAUAAUGAUGUGGGUGUGCAAUCAUCAGAAGAAUUACUCAAAAAGAGACCUGGGUUUUAUUGAAAAAAUAAUAUAAUUAAUUUAAUUUACAGUAAGAUGAAAAAAAAAUAGAAGUUAGAGCUACCAAUCAGCUUUUGGAGAUUAUGUAGAGUGAAACACACCUUGCUCCCAUGGCGGAGACUGGAGAGACAAUUUAGAUUUUGGUGAGGUUAAAUCCGCACUUCAUAUUUAGGAAAUGUUUUCAACAGUUGGGUUUUGUUAUUUAUUGAACCCAGCUCUCCUUCGGAAUGGGUUGGAUUCCGUUCUCGACCAGUCGAUUGGACAGAGAAUACAAACCGACCGUCGACUAAUGGUCUGGAAUUUUCAGUGUUGCCACAUGAGGGAUGGGAAACGAAAACAAAAGAACAC